This 695-nucleotide long non-coding RNA is filed under the name Anas platyrhynchos platyrhynchos (common mallard). RNAcentral describes it as "lncRNA (ENSAPLG00000023934.1)". Lineage: Eukaryota; Metazoa; Chordata; Aves; Anseriformes; Anatidae. The record is from RNAcentral.
GGAAAAUGUGUUUAAAAAGAAGAAUUCAAGACGUAUGCUGGCAUCUGAGGCAGUCACCAACACGCAGAAACGGAGCCCUGGGUGUUAGAGGAGAGGCUGGGAAUUGCAAGGACAGGCUUGACAGAAGGGGGAUUGGAGCCCUCAGUCUCUCUGUGGAAGAUAGCCUCAAUACUGCCCAUCAGGCUAACACAAAUGCAAGCAAACAAGGCAAAUGUCUUUACAUGAGAAAGCAGCUGGCUGAUGACGUCCCACAACUGAAGACAUAGACCACUGCAAACAGGCAGCAGGCUGCAAGGAAGGUGCAUGGAGACAUUGUCAGGCAAGGACUUGCCCUACAGCACAGCACUGGCAGCCUAAAGCACGGGGAUUAAUUUUACCAUGCGUACUUUCACUGGACUGAAACCAACUUGCACACUAUGCCAGCAUCCCCUCCAAGGCAGGUUCACCCUGGGGUGUGAUUCACAUGGCUGAUGCAUUUCUGACCACGAAGCUUUAGCACCAGUUCCCCCCUAGGACUGGGGGAAAGGAGAGCCAAAUGUUGUUCCCCUCUCAAAAUCUCUUUUCACCAAGAAAUCAACUCUGUGGUGAAGCCAUCUGUUGUGAGAAGUGUUUGCUUAUGAUUAACAAAUCUCCAUAUUGUAAGGAAACCAAAUCUCUAUAUUAAAAAAUAAAUCUUUUUAAAGGGAAAAUAAACA